UAGGGAAGNNCGGAAGUCUGACCGAGCAACGCCGCGUGAGNNAGNNNNGUNUUNGGAUCGUAAAGCUCUGUUGUAAGAGAAGAACGAGUGUGAGAGUGGAAAGUUCACACUGUGACGGUACAAUACCANAAAGGGACGGCUAACUACGUGCCAGCAGCCGCGGUAAUACGUAGGUCCCGAGCGUUGUCCGGAUUUAUUGGGCGUAAAGCGAGCGCAGGCGGUUAGAUAAGUCUGAAGUUAAAGGCUGUGGCUUAACCAUAGUAGGCUUUGGAAACUGUUUAACUUGAGUGCAAGAGGGGAGAGUGGAAUUCCAUGUGUAGCGGUGAAAUGCGUAGAUAUAUGGAGGAACACCGGUGGCGAAAGCUUCUCUCUUGCUUGUAACUGACGCUGAGGCUCGAAAGCGUGGGGAGCAAACAGGAUUAGAUACCCUGGUAGUCCACGCUGUAAACGAUGAGUGCUAGGUGUUAGACCCUUUCCGGGGUUUAGUGCCGUAGCUAACGCAUUAAGCACUCCGCCUGGGGAGUACGACCGCAAGGUUG
This 539-nucleotide ribosomal RNA is filed under the name uncultured bacterium. RNAcentral describes it as "partial 16S rRNA". It matches the Rfam family "Bacterial small subunit ribosomal RNA", at positions 365 to 896 of the family's 1533-position model. The record is from RNAcentral.